This 347-nucleotide long non-coding RNA is filed under the name Elaeis guineensis (African oil palm). RNAcentral describes it as "long non-coding RNA (EGUI_LNC028747)". The record is from RNAcentral. Lineage: Eukaryota; Viridiplantae; Streptophyta; Magnoliopsida; Arecales; Arecaceae.
GCAUAUCCUUCAGCCCGAGCCAGCAAAUCAGCAAAAUUCCUGGGGUACUUCUUCUCCAGGGAGAACAAAAGGUCAUUCUUCUGAAGGGCGACUGAUUGGUCCAAAUUCUGGACCUCCAGCGCCACGACGUUGAAACGGUUGAUGUAGGCCCGAAUGGACUCCCCUUCCUUCUGCUUGAUAUUGAUGAGGGACUCUGAACCCUUUCGGGGGCAUCGGCUGCUGACAAAAUGGGCCACAAAUUGGUGGCUCAUUUGAUCGAAGGAAAAGAUGGUACCCGGUUUCAAAGCCGAGUACCAGUUUCUCGCCGCUCCCUUCAAGGUGGACGGGAAGGCCUGGCAUAGAAUGGC